Gasterosteus aculeatus aculeatus (three-spined stickleback) is the source of this 1402-nucleotide long non-coding RNA. The record is from Ensembl. Lineage: Eukaryota; Metazoa; Chordata; Actinopteri; Perciformes; Gasterosteidae.
GCCAUUUUGAAUUUAAAAAAAAAAGGGACGCCUUAUAAACACUCGGCUACACGUUUUACCCGUGGCCUUGCUUCUGCCCAGAUAAACCGGGAUAUGUUUGCCCCAUGAUGUAAAGUGGGAUUGAGGGAUUCUGACUGGUAGUAAUAAAAAGAGGUAGAGCAGCUUUGACAGUACAUUCAUUUUUACCACCUCAAUUAUUGAACUAAAAUCCAAUACUAGUGUUACCAUUUUGUUAUAUCUUUCUGUAUCCUGUCAUUUCUUGUAUUGUAGUUUGGUUCAUAUAUUUUAUUUAUUUAUCGAGUAAGUGACACACCCAGGUAUUUUAUUGAUUUUGUAUGCCACUCCAGUUUAUAUGUCUGCCUGAAAGACCGCGAACAAAAUUGGAAGCCCGGUUGGGGACACCUGGAAGGAUUCAGCCAAACGACUUCUGUCGUUCUGGUAGAUUUAUUUGUCAGAUCACAGGUCAAGUAUAAGCUCUGCAUUUGCAAAGGCUGGAGCAGUUCUGUCGGCCUGCAGGCCGGAAGAACAACUGACUAACAUCAGGAAAAACUCGCCUUCAACUCCUCUCCGCGAUCACCAACUUUCGGCCAGUCCGCAGACAGACGAGAAGAAGCUGCUGAAUGCUCUCAGUGGAUCGUCUCGUCACUCCAACAACAAACUGCCGAUAUCAACGAGCGGUUCGCUCCAUUGGAGCGUUCGGGACUCUCCGGGUUUCUGUCCAUAGAGGAGAGGAUGGCGGCUCUGAAGGAACCGACUCAAAGAAGAGGAGACGGGCGCACAAUCCCAAGAUAGCGGAAGCGGUGUGCCGUCUUCACAACUCCGAGACAAAUUACAGGCGCAACGAACCGGAGAAAGGACUAAUCUCGCCUCAUGAGUCGGUGACCUCGUAUUUGCUCCGGGAAAAGUCCAGAUUUAGACGACGUCAUUGUGUUCGCCUGUGAGACGUAUUUUGAAACGGUACGCAGGAGCUUCAGGUUCAGCCGGAACACUCAUUGCGGGCGGAAGCUGCGAAGGAUUCAGUGGGGAGUCGAGCGAGAAGAAAGAGGCUGCUGGAAUCGAGACAAAGUGUGCUGGCUGAUGACGAGGUGGAACUCUGGAAAUCCGCCACCGUAGAGCUCACGUCGGACGGAGAGGAUGGCGUUGUUGGCGGGGUCUCGGGUUGGAUUGUACGGUGCAGUCCCGGUGGGAGGCAACUCAGAAAAACAGAGCCACACACACUAGGCGCCUGCACAACAGACCUACCUCGUAAAACACGGCGCCAGUGACAGUCUACAACCCCGAGGAGGCAAACGGACAGUUUACUGAGCUGUAGUUUUUUAAACCGCCUUUACCCAAGUGUGGGCAGAUCCUCACUUUGUAUGUAGUUGUUGUUUGUAUGUUGUUAAUAAAGCUCUUUCUUUGC